RNAcentral lists this ribosomal RNA (494 nucleotides) under Staphylococcus aureus. Its description in RNAcentral is "partial 23S ribosomal RNA". It matches the Rfam family "Bacterial large subunit ribosomal RNA", at positions 743 to 1240 of the family's 2925-position model. Lineage: Bacteria; Bacillati; Bacillota; Bacilli; Caryophanales; Staphylococcaceae. The record is from RNAcentral.
GGUUGAAGUUCAGGUAACACUGAAUGGAGGACCGAACCGACUUACGUUGAAAAGUGAGCGGAUGAACUGAGGGUAGCGGAGAAAUUCCAAUCGAACCUGGAGAUAGCUGGUUCUCUCCGAAAUAGCUUUAGGGCUAGCCUCAAGUGAUGAUUAUUGGAGGUAGAGCACUGUUUGGACGAGGGGCCCCUCUCGGGUUACCGAAUUCAGACAAACUCCGAAUGCCAAUUAAUUUAACUUGGGAGUCAGAACAUGGGUGAUAAGGUCCGUGUUCGAAAGGGAAACAGCCCAGACCACCAGCUAAGGUCCCAAAAUAUAUGUUAAGUGGAAAAGGAUGUGGCGUUGCCCAGACAACUAGGAUGUUGGCUUAGAAGCAGCCAUCAUUUAAAGAGUGCGUAAUAGCUCACUAGUCGAGUGACACUGCGCCGAAAAUGUACCGGGGCUAAACAUAUUACCGAAGCUGUGGAUUGUCCUUUGGACAAUGGUAGGAGAGCGUU